UAAUAAUAAUAGGCGAUUUUAUUUAUACGACAAUAAAAUAUAAUAUUAUAAUUUAUGCGUACACUCGUGGUUAUUAUAUACAGGGUGUUCUGUUAUUACUGAGUACACUAAUUAUCUCUGAAAGUAUUCAUCUUUUUUUCGGGACUCGUUUCACAGAACAUCCAAGGAACGGUAAGCAGCUGUACGGUUUCACGUUUAUGUAAAUUUUUCGUCGCCCUUGUUUUUGAUGGUUUGACCGCUGUGCCUCUACUGUUCAUUUUCAAAAUGGCGACUUGUAUCGAACGUUUCGCCAACAGACGCGCGGUGUCGGUUGGAAUGGCGCUCCCGGUGUUGGAAUUUUCGAUUCCCGUCGACCCGGGCCGAACUCGAAAGCGGAAUAGGUUUAAGGGAUUGGUUCCG
This is a non-coding RNA of Cinara cedri, 399 nucleotides long. Lineage: Eukaryota; Metazoa; Arthropoda; Insecta; Hemiptera; Aphididae. The record is from the annotation of a GenBank genome assembly.